Molecule: unclassified non-coding RNA, 328 nt
Filed under: plant metagenome
Description: partial contains 5.8S ribosomal RNA, internal transcribed spacer 2, and large subunit ribosomal RNA
Rfam family: 5.8S ribosomal RNA (bases 1-104)
Source: RNAcentral
GAAAUGCGAUAAGUAAUGUGAAUUGCAGAAUUCCGUGAAUCAUCGAAUCUUUGAACGCACAUUGCGCCCUCUGGUAUUCCGGGGGCAUGCCUGUCCGAGCGUCAUUGCGAACCCCUCAAGUACGGCUUGUGUGAUGGGCCCUCCCGCGUCUUGGUCGUCAAGACGGGCCCGAAAUGCAGUGGCGGCUUCGCGGUUAUCCGAUCAGCCAGAGCGUAUGGGGACUCUCUCUCUUGUCACACGCCCGCGGCGCGGACCGACGCCUGUCGACCUUUAUUCAUCUUCUCUCGGUUGACCUCGGAUCAGGUAGGGAUACCCGCUGAACUUAAGC